RNAcentral lists this ribosomal RNA (492 nucleotides) under uncultured bacterium. Its description in RNAcentral is "partial 16S ribosomal RNA". It matches the Rfam family "Bacterial small subunit ribosomal RNA", at positions 29 to 507 of the family's 1533-position model. The record is from RNAcentral.
AGUGAGCGCUGGCGGUAGGCCUAACACAUGCAAGUCGAACGGCAGCACAGUAAGAGCUUGCUCUUACGGGUGGCGAGUGGCGGACGGGUGAGGAAUACAUCGGAGUCUACUUUUUCGUGGGGGAUAACGUAGGGAAACUUACGCUAAUACCGCAUACGACCUACGGGUGAAAGCAGGGGAUCUUCUGACCUUGCGCGAUUGAAUGAGCCGAUGUCGGAUUAGCUAGUUGGCGGGGUAAAGGCCCACCAAGGCGACGAUCCGUAGCUGGUCUGAGAGGAUGAUCAGCCACACUGGAACUGAGACACGGUCCAGACUCCUACGGGAGGCAGCAGUGGGGAAUAUUGGACAAUGGGCGCAAGCCUGAUCCAGCCAUACCGCGUGGGUGAAGAAGGCCUUAGGGUUGUAAAGCCCUUUUGUUGGGAAAGAAAAGCAGCAGGUUAAUACCCCGCUGUUCUGACGGUACCCAAAGAAUAAGCACCGGCUAACUUCGUG